GGUCCGUGUUUGCGAUCUGAACCUUUGGUACCUACAAGGAGGGUGUCUCACGGAACGUAGCUAAAACCUCACCAGAACCGCGCGGAAGUGAGGAGUCCCGGCCAAAGGCGCUCGCUGGAGCCUUCUUUCUGGGCCGGACCCCAACCCAAGCGGCCGAACGGAGCCCCCCGCCCGGAUCGCAGAAAAAAAGCAGAAAGAAUAGGGUGGGGGUGUAGAAGUAGAAAAAGGCGAGACUCGGCGCAUUCCAGCCCCUCUUCUUUUAGCUGCUGCAGCCGGAAGGCGCGCUUGAUGCCGGCAGAAGCGAAGGAGGCGUCCGCACAGCCUAGAGCAACCCUCCGCGGAGCCAGCCGCCUCCUGCUCCAGCGGGCGGGUGUCUACCUGCAGCCUCUGCCCUAGCCCUAGCGCCUACCCCAGCUCCUUGGAACCCUCUGUCCAGUGCAGACGAAUCCCAGGGCCUCCGUCAGCCCCGAGCAUUAAGCGCCUUUCGGGCAACUUGAGAA
This is a long non-coding RNA of Marmota monax (woodchuck), 500 nucleotides long. RefSeq lists it as uncharacterized. The record is from RefSeq and is a predicted model, not a curated record. The transcript has 3 exons. Lineage: Eukaryota; Metazoa; Chordata; Mammalia; Rodentia; Sciuridae.